Molecule: long non-coding RNA, 785 nt
Organism: Paramormyrops kingsleyae
Lineage: Eukaryota; Metazoa; Chordata; Actinopteri; Osteoglossiformes; Mormyridae
Source: RefSeq, a predicted model, not a curated record
UAUCAAAUGCUUUUGUAUAAAACAGAGGCCAAUCAGUGACCAAUAACAAGUGCAAGUUAGCUAUACAAAGCACUGUUAGAGUGUAAUGGCCAAACUGAGAAGGACCCAGUCUGAGCAGAGCCUCUGCUUAACACCACGACGUUCCCCAGCUGGGAUGCUACGGCAUUUCACCAGGCUACAACGUGCUCACAGAUUAUGGAAGCCACCUUCAGCAUCGACCUCCAUCUUGAUCACAGCUCUUUCAGAUGAUCUACUUGGAGUACUCCACCUGUACCCUCAUGAGGGAGAUGGUCAGCUUUAACUCGUCUACUAAACCAAACUCCAUACCUUUGAUGAUCCAGCAUUCUCUAAGUGUCCACUGGAGCGGAAACUGGGCCAUGAGAUCAGGAAAAAGAAGAGCCUGAAUACACAGCAGCAGUGGAAAGGUUACCAGUGAAAAGCAAUUGCUGACCAGAGGCUCACACACAGAUGCGCUUCUCUGCGGAUGAAACACGGUAAAGGUGAUUCUGUUAAUUGUCACAACAAGACACCCGAAAGCCACAGAGAAAUCAGCCGUCAUGACAGCUCAGUCAAAAGGCAUGUGGUUGCCAUGACUUCUGUGAAAACAAAUUGCCUAUGAAGAAACAAACUUGUUUUGCUUACGUAGUGCAUGGUAUAUAUUGCAGAGUAUAUUUCAAAAUCUAAAGGGAAGUUUCCAUCUGUGGUGAGGUGCCGCAUUAAUAUGUAAUAACGUCAUUGGUAGUGUACAGUGCCUUUGAAUACAAACGCAAUGAGGUGUAUUUCAA